This is a small nuclear RNA of Pan paniscus (pygmy chimpanzee), 99 nucleotides long. NCBI's taxonomy places the organism in Eukaryota, Metazoa, Chordata, Mammalia, Primates, Hominidae. The record is from Ensembl.
GUGUUUGCCUCGGCAGUGCAUAUACUAAAAUUAGAAUGAUACAGAGAUUAGUGUGGCCCCUGUGCAAGGAUGACACGUUCUAAAAAUUUAUUAAUAUUU